UACGGAGGGUGCGAGCGUUGUCCGGAAUCACUGGGCGUAAAGGGCGCGUAGGCGGCGCGGUAAGCGUGCGGUGAAAGUCCGGGGCUCAACCCCGGAUCGGCCGUGCGGACUGCCGGGCUUGAGCACUGUAGGGGCGGGUGGAACUCCGGGUGUAGCGGUGGAAUGCGUAGAGAUCCGGAAGAACACCGGUGGCGAAGGCGGCCCGCUGGGCAGUGGCUGACGCUGAGGCGCGACAGCGUGGGGAGCAAACAGG
This 253-nucleotide ribosomal RNA is filed under the name uncultured bacterium. RNAcentral describes it as "partial 16S ribosomal RNA". It matches the Rfam family "Bacterial small subunit ribosomal RNA", at positions 524 to 776 of the family's 1533-position model. The record is from RNAcentral.